This is a long non-coding RNA of Temnothorax curvispinosus, 930 nucleotides long. RefSeq lists it as uncharacterized. Lineage: Eukaryota; Metazoa; Arthropoda; Insecta; Hymenoptera; Formicidae. The record is from RefSeq and is a predicted model, not a curated record. The transcript has 3 exons.
AUAGUCCGGGAGCCAGCUGCCAUUUUAAGGGGAUGCUAAAGCUAAGGCCGAACUUCCUCGACGUCGGAACCAGACAAUGUAGCCAACCCCGAAACUGCCCACAGCUGCGUAGGGAUCCUCCAGAGAGGGAUCGGACUAAGCGGGUAUCGUUUUCUAUUGGUCGGCGACUAUUUGUUUCAAAACCGGAAACAGAGAGAGAAAGAGCGAGCGAGUAAGAGAGAUAGAGCCAUACACACACGCGUGCGCGUGACCGUAAAUCGCAACGAAACGAGGAGAGGAGAGCGAGUAAAGCAGAAUAAGGACGAACGGACGGAUGGCCGAUGCUAUCCGGAGAAAGGAAAAACGUGCCCCAUAAACUAGAAAAAGAAGAAGAAGACGAACGGACGGAGAGAGAGCGUGGCUCGCGCGAACGGAGAAAGGCAGUCGCAGGAAGCAGAAAACCGCGUCGUCACGGUAUACCCUGUCGUCGUCGCCGUCGUCGUCGUCAUCGUUAUCGUCAUCGUCGUCGUCGUCGUCAACCUACGACGCAGCGUUCUCCUUUGGCGUCAACGAUCGAAGAAGGACGAGGACAAGUUAGUCGUGUAGGAUUAUUAGGCUAUUCUCAUCUACGCGCCUGACGAAAGAACGGUGGUGUACGAUUUAGAAAGCUGCCUGCCAUUUUUCACGCAUUUCUGGAAAUACGCGACCGAGACCUUCCGUUCCGACGAGGCGUUACGACCCGAAUAUCACAGAAAAUUCCGUCUGGUGCCCGCCAGCGUGUACCUAUAGCAGUUUGCGUCGAAUCGGCAUCACAUGAAACGCAAGAACGGCACUUGGAUCAAGACACUGCUGGAUUAUCCUCCGAUCUCGACACCAAGAUUAAAAUAUAAAUCGAAAAUGUGACUGAUCAAGUUUUACAAGAUUUUUUUAUACAUUUAUUAUACACAAAUU